This 207-nucleotide ribosomal RNA is filed under the name uncultured bacterium. Its description in RNAcentral is "partial 16S ribosomal RNA". It matches the Rfam family "Bacterial small subunit ribosomal RNA", at positions 568 to 774 of the family's 1533-position model. The record is from RNAcentral.
CGCGUAGACGGUUGUCUAAGUCUGGAGUGAAAGUCCUGCUUUCAAGGUGGGAAUUGCUUUGGAGACUGAAUGACUUGAGUGCGGAAGAGGUAAGUGGAAUUCCCAGUGUAGCGGUGAAAUGCGUAGAGAUUGGGAGGAACACCAGUGGCGAAGGCGACUUACUGGGCCGUAACUGACGUUGAUGCGCGAAAGCGUGGGGAGCGAACA